UCGGGAAUUUUGGGCAAUGGGGGAAACCCUGACCCAGCAACGCCGCGUGAAGGAUGAAGUAUUUCGGUAUGUAAACUUCGAAAGAAUAGGAAGAAUAAAUGACGGUACUAUUUAUAAGGUCCGGCUAACUACGUGCCAGCAGCCGCGGUAAUACGUAGGGACCAAGCGUUGUUCGGAUUUACUGGGCGUAAAGCGUGCGUAGGCGGUGAGUUAAGUCUGUCGUGAAAGCCCUGGGCUCAACCUGGGAAUGGCGAUGGAUACUGGCUCGCUAGAGUGUGAUAGAGGAUGGCGGAAUUCCCGGUGUAGCGGUGAAAUGCGUAGAGAUCGGGAGGAACAUCUGUGGCGAAGGCGGCCAUCUGGAUCAACACUGACGCUGAGGCACGAAAGCGUGGGGAGCAAACAGGAUUAGAUACCCACGUAGUCCCUGAGCGGGCUGGCAAGGCGCAU
Molecule: ribosomal RNA, 447 nt
Filed under: uncultured bacterium
Lineage: Bacteria
Description: bacterial SSU rRNA
Rfam family: Bacterial small subunit ribosomal RNA
Source: RNAcentral